GAUAAGGUGCCCGUACCGCAAACCGACACAGGUAGAUGAGGAGAGAAUCCUAAGACCAGCGGGAGAAGUGUUGUUAAGGAACUCGGCAAAAUGACCCCGUAACUUCGGGAUAAGGGGAGCCUACGCGAGUAGGCCGCAGAGAACAGUCUCAAGCGACUGUUUAGCAAAAACACAGGUCUAUGCUAAAUCGAAAGAUGAUGUAUAUGGCUGACGCCUGCCCGGUGCUGGAAGGUUAAGGGGAAGUGUUAGAGCAAUCGAAGCACUGAACUUAAGCCCCAGUAAACGGCGGCCGUAACAAUAACGGUCCUAUGGUAGCGAAGUUCCUUGUCAGGUAAGUUCUGACCCGCACGAAUGGCGUAACGACUUGAGAGCUGUCUCAACAACAUACCCGGCGAAAUUGAAGUACUGGUAAAGAUGCCAGUUACCCGUGAUAAGACGGAAAGACCCCAUGGAGCUUUACUGUAACUUGAUAUUGAAUUUUUGUAUUACAUGUACAGGAUAGGUGGGAGACAGAGAACCAAUGCCGCCAGGUGUUGGGGAGUCGAUGUUGGGAUACCACUCUUGUAAUAUGAAGGUUCUAACCUGCACCCGUGAAUCCGGGUGGGGGACACUGUCAGGUGGACAGUUUGACUGGGGCGGUCGCCUCCUAAAAGGUAACGGAGGCGUUCAAAGGUUGGUUCAGCACGGACGGAAAUCGUGCAACGAGUGCAAACGCAUAAACCAGCCUAACUGCGAGACCGACAAGUCGAGCAGUAACGAAAGUUGGAGUUAGUGAUCCGGCGGUAUGAGAGUGGAAUUGCCGUCGCUCAACGGAUAAAAGCUACCCUGGGGAUAACAGGCUGAUCUCCCCCAAGAGUCCACAUCGACGGGGAGGUUUGGCACCUCGAUGUCGGCUCAUCGCAUCCUGGAGCUGUAGUCGGUUCCAAGGGUUGGGCUGUUCGCCCAUUAAAGCGGUACGCGAGCUGGGUUCAGAACGUCGCGAGACAGUUCGGUCCCUAUCUAUCACGGGCGUAGGAAAUUUGAGGAGAGCUGACCUUAGUACGAGAGGACCGGGUUGGACGUACCGCUGGUGCACCUGUUGUUCUGCCAAGGGCAUAGCAGGGUAGCUAAGUACGGACGGGAUAAACGCUGAAGGCAUCUAAGCGUGAAGCCCCCUUCGAGAUAAGAUUUCCCAUAGCGUAGGCUAGUAAGGACCCAUGAAGACUACAUGGUUGAUAGGCCGGAGGUGGAAGUGCAGUAAUGUAUGCAGCUAACCGGUACUAAUAGUCCGAGGGCUUGAUC
Molecule: ribosomal RNA, 1281 nt
Filed under: metagenome
Description: bacterial LSU rRNA
Rfam family: Bacterial large subunit ribosomal RNA
Source: RNAcentral